Hirundo rustica (Barn swallow) is the source of this 899-nucleotide long non-coding RNA. RefSeq lists it as uncharacterized. The transcript is spliced from 3 exons. The record is from RefSeq and is a predicted model, not a curated record. NCBI's taxonomy places the organism in Eukaryota, Metazoa, Chordata, Aves, Passeriformes, Hirundinidae.
GGAAAAGAAAAAAAGUUGAGUAAUCUUUGAUCCUGCUUUCAGCAAACCUCUGCUGUACAAGUGAACAGGAGAUCAAACGUGAACAGAUUUUUGUGCUGUACUCUGCUAUAGGAAUCCAAUAUUCCAAGAAUCCAAUGCUGCCUCAAAGCACUUCGUAAACUGCAAAGAAAAAAAGUGAAACUGCUGUCUUCAGUAAGAUUAGGAUUUUUUUUUUAGUCUUGAACCAUAAACCCAGAAAUCUAGCACCCAUUUGCAAGACCUUCUAGGAACUUCAGUAGACCUCAAGAAAAUUGUCCAGUAAUUCAAGACAAUUAACUCUUUGGAACAGAAUUACAGAAGAGUUGUGGCUGGAAGAGACAUCUGAAGGUCAUCUUGUCCAACCCCUUGCUCCAACCAUAUCCAGAUAACUUUUACAUAUCCCCAAGGAUGAAGACUCUGCAGCCUCCCUGGCAGCCUGUGCUAAUGUUCAUUUACCUUCACGCGGAGAACCUAAACCUAUUUCUUAGUGCCCAUUUGCAAAGUGAAAUCUAGAAGUGGUGUUUGAAAUCUACGGGUAUGGAAGUUUUGAACAUACCACCAGUGGGAAACCAUAUUUCGUUCUUGUACUGAUCUCUUGAGAUAGGAAAAUUUCAGUAAUUCACUUUCUGUAAUCUGUUGUAUACAAUGUGUUGUUUGCGGUUCCCAUGAGGUCCAGGAGGAAGAAAAAACCAACCUUACGCCUUGACACACUUUGAUCAAGACCAAUGGUUUGGAGCCUUUGUCUACCUCUUUAAAGAUCACAGUGGGCCAUGCAGGUAGCACCCUUGGGGGUACAGAUGUGGAGAUGAUAAGGCCCAGCAACAGCCGGAAUUAGUCUGGAAGGAGGAAAAGUUGACAGCAACCUUCAAGAUAGGUUGGAA